UCUGCAUGGCCUGUGGGUGUCAAUUUCUUGAUCUGUCCAGAAUGCAGCCACUUCUCUCCACCCCCUGAUUCCAGCUCAUCCCACAAUCAUGCCCAUUCUUCACCCAGUAGAGACCCACCAGGGCCAUCCCACAACACUUGACCAAACCUACCUCUUCCCCAUCCCGUGCCCCAUGGUGAGGAUUCUCGUCACCCGCUCUAGCCACAGCAGCCUCGCUCUUCUUGGCUUGCUCCCUCCUCUGGGCCUUGGCACUUGCUGCCCCCUACACAGCCCUUCCCCAACUCCCAGGAUGUCCUUCCCAUAUCUGGUCCUUCCUGCCAUUGAGUUCCAGGCCAGAUGUCACCUUGGCACAUCAGCCUGUGAGCUGGGGUCAUUAGAUCCAUUUUACAGAAGAGAAUAUGAGAGGGAAGGUGACCUCCCCAGGAACUCACAGCUAAGGACCAAACCCACACCUGCCCUGGUCAGCCUAUGUGUAAAGCCAAUGCACUUCCCACAGUCCACGGUGGUGGUGUACUCCAAAAACAUGCCUGUCUUGAGCGCCUGGGUCAUUAAGGUUCUUUCUAUUGCAUGUGCAGAAACUCAGCUCAAGCAGACAUAAGCACAAAAAGAGAAUGUAUUUGCAUCUGUAAAUAAAAAGCCCAGGGGUAGACUUCAGGCAUGGCUAGAUCUAGGACAUGGUCUCAGGCUCUCUGCCUGUUGGCUCUUCUUUCUCCACAUGGGCUUCUUUUAUACGACGGGUCUCAGCAACCUUGCACUUACCUCCUGUCCUUUACUUUCCCUAAGCAGAAGACAGAGUCUCUGCUCCCAAGACAUUUAUCUGUCUGGUGGCCCACCCAAGUGACAUGCCUACCCAUGAAUCUAUCCCAAAGUCUGGAGGUAGAAUGCACCGAGUGGCCGGGCCUGAAUCUCAUGCCCAUCCCAAAGCACUGUAGGCCAAGCUAGUUCCUACCCCAAGUAGCCACUAGGGCCAUGUGCCUUUAAUACCACAGGCAAGAGAGAGAGGACAGAAUGGGUUCUGUUGCCAGAAGGAGGAAUAGAUGCUGGGUAGGCAGAAGCCACAGAGGCCCGUGACCUUGGGCAGCUACAGCAGGGCCAAGUCUUGGUGUGGACCAGGAGGCGAGCUGGGGUCUUUCUCUUGCUUACUGCGCCCUAGCCUCACUUGGUCCAUGUACUGCUGCAGCCUGGCCAGAGGGAUAGUGCAGACACUCAUCUGAGGGCCUUUGCUGGGGCUGCUGGAACUGAGAAGAGGUUAAAAUGGAGCCAAUUAACAGGCUGCUUCCUUAGGGAAACUGCUAGGUGAGCAGAGCAUAAGCACUCAGUGAGUUCACCUUGAAAUAAGUUACUAAGGCAGGCCAGCCCCUGCACCGAGUAGGAGGUGGGCCUGGAGAGGGAAGGGAUCAGGGCUGCUGAGCCAGGGAUAUUAUGUGCAGACAGCCCCAAAGACAUCCUUUCCUAGGACGGAUAUUUCUGGAAGUAACUCCAGUUGCUCUAUGGCCCUUAGACUAGCAUCACCCUCACUGCCCCUUACCUGGCCACUCCUUCUCUCACUGAGGGUCUCACCCCACACAUCUCGGUCCCCCACAUGCUGGCAAAGUCACCAUCCCUGGAAGCCCCUCUUCUCUGUAGCCCCCUCCUCCAGGAGCAGAUUGGGGCCAGGAGGAUACUCAUGUGGGACUGGCCUCUGCCAGGCCCUGACAGCUGCCAUCACCAGAACAGUGAUGUUUUCAUAGUGUCUGUGUCUUUUUUUGAAGAAAAGUAUUAGUCCCAGAAAGCCAGGGCCCCCUGUCCCCGGAGCAGCAUGGCCCAUCUGCACAAGCAGUGAUUCCUCCCUGCCACAUCCUGGCAAGUCCUGGAGGUAUGAUAGGUGGUGCCUGGGCUGGCCUGGUGGCCUGUACAGAACCUGGAAGUCAUUGUCCUGAUGACAGGAUUGGCAGCCACUUAGGACAGGUCUUUGCAAGAUUAAAGCAGCACUCAGCAUGGCUGGACCAUUCACUGCCCUCCCAGGCCCUCCAUGGACUGGAGACCACAGUGAAAGUGUGCUGAGGGGAGGGUGUGGCCUGUGUGACCUCUGCCUCAAGGGCCACCUGCUGCUGGAGGGUGUAGCCAGCUGGGGCCCAAAGACAUGGGUCCCUCUGGGUCUCAGGCAUGUCAAGGAGGCAGCUUCGUUCACCUAAGAGACCCCAAGAUUUUAGAGGUCCUAAAAUCCACCUCACCCAACAGCCAUUGUCCUCAGGGACCAGCAAUGCUGCCUCUUCAGGCUGGGCUGAGGAUUGACUACAGCACUUGUUCACUAUUCAGUCACUGUUAUGUGUUGACAUGUUUAUUUUAAUGCAUUUUAAAAAGCACACAGCCAGUACAUUAGACCUGUGAGUUCAUAGAUAUUAUUGGUAAGAAUGAUGCUAAUUUUAAAAUGUGAAUUGAUAUAAAGAACAUGAUUAAGUGAAUAGCUGUGCAGAGAGUAGUCAGACCCGGAAAUAUCAUGAAAUCGAUCCUGUCAUUCAACGAACGCUGAAAUGAGCGGUUUCAUGUUCUGAAGGUCCUGAGCCCGAGCCAGGCUCUUGGAGGGACCCAGGGGGCUGCACAGGGCAGGUGUGCAUAGGGGGGCCCCACCCUUAUCACCCUGCUGGUACCUGGCAUAUCGGUGUCCCUAGCCCUGUGAAAACUUCUCCUUCUGGUGGGUGUCCUCACUUCUCCAGCACUCCCUCUUGGGGAUUCCAUGCACUGACACAUGUGGCCCAGGGCCCAGAAUGGAGGAAGUGGGGUGAGCUGUGUUCUUGGUCACAUGCCGUGCCAUGGCCUGGCUCCCCCAGCUCCCCACACUGCAGCGGCAAGUCACUCAACCAGGGUCACCUCAUGUGAAACAGGGAGGAUGAGAGCAACGGCGUGGUGGGGGACAGAGACGAUGAGGAAUCCACCCAGUGGCUGAGCAGUGAGUCUGGGCUCCUGCUGUCGCUGUGAUCCCUCUUACUGCUUCCACCAUCACUACUGCUACUAGUAGAAGGACUGGUGAAUCUGUCGGAGGGAAAACUGGCUGUCCCCUUUCUGCCAGGGCAUUGUUGGGCUUUCUUAAUACUCAUGUGUUUAUUUUCAAGGAUGUGUGUGUUAACCGUCUUUGGGCUGUGAGUUUGGCGCGUCGCGGCUGGUUCACACCUGUAUCCUCCUGUCCACAAGUGAGGCGGUGCACUCACCAGCUGGGUGUCCUACAAUUCAAAUUUGUUUCCUAAACACUCUUCUCAAGAAGCUACUGGAGGAUGAGCUCCAUUGAAAUGAAAGAAUAAACCAGAAAAGAAGAAGACAUGAGCUGCAGAAAGAAGGAGACCCCACACAAUAGAAAUGACAAGGGAAUCAUCCUUUGGAGGAUGGUGAAAAUGAUUCCAGGAUAGCAGCUCUGCACCACAUGUGGAGGGCAACUGAGCCACACUGCAUCAGGGCAACCCAAGAAACAAACUGUCAUCAUUAAGACCCCCCGCUUCCAUCAGGCCAUCUUCUUAACCCAAGGACAGAACACCCAGGACAACUUGGGCCAGCUUCUCAUCAGUACUUGGCUUGUCUUGACCAUGUGCUAAUGAGGGUCUCUCCCCUCAGGCUCUGCUGAAGACAUGCAUAUCACUCACAGAAGUUUCCAGCUUUCCCCUGAGAGUGGGAGGUAGACCACAGUGGGCUCAAAUAUAGAAAGGACAGAGCAGCCCACUUUCACUGACCGGACUUCUGCUGCAUGUCCAGUGCCUGGUCUACACCCCAGUCUUGCCAGGCACCCAACUGUGGAGAGCCCAGUGUUUCCCAAGACUCACUCGUGACCUUGCUCAUGAGUUCCCCAGAAAGGGCCUUGUCACCUCCCAGAGAAGCGGAAGUCAGACCAAGACUGCUCCACUCACCUCCUCCUGGAGCCUCUGCCCAGCAGGGACAGUGCUGCCCGCUCCUUGCAUGGCUGGUGUGUGCUUGCCCUUCAAUUUCAAGACUAAGAAGUAUGUUUCUUGGGAUAGAUACACAGGUAGACCUAUAAAGAAAAGCAAGGGAACAAUUAGCACAAAAGUCAGAAUGGUUAUUGCCUAGAGGUUAGGGAGUAAGGAGUGGAUUCAUCAGGGAAAGUACGUAAGGGAUUUUAAGGUACUGGUAAUUCUCUUUUUCUUAGCCUGGGUAGCAGUUCACAGAUGUUCAUUCAUAUUGUUUUAAUAAUAAUAAAAAUAAUUCUUAUUUAAAUUA
Molecule: long non-coding RNA, 4203 nt
Organism: Orcinus orca (killer whale)
Lineage: Eukaryota; Metazoa; Chordata; Mammalia; Artiodactyla; Delphinidae
Exons: 2
Source: RefSeq, a predicted model, not a curated record